AAACAUGUCAAAGUCUUGUUUAUAUUUACAAAAUUGUAUUGUGGGAGAAUUUUAUUAUUUUUUUUGUUAUUGGAAAAAAUAUAUUUAUAUGCCGUGUCAGCUCCAUCAUUCCAUGAAAGCAUGGAACAGUUGUCGUGUCACUCGUCCACCAGCCAUAACAUAACCUCGCACUUGGCAAGCCCUCAAUUAAAUCAAUUAUCUUUCGAACUAAAACAGCAAUUAUAUCUUCCAUCCAAAUACGAAAUGGAACCGACACUGGCCCCCACCGAAACGUCGGGCCAUGCAUGAACAACAUUCAAACUAAGAUGUAGAAAGAAGAUGUCUAUCGACAAGGGAAGAAUAGUCAAUUAAAGUGGGCAAUUAAAUGCACGCACUUUGAGAAUCAAGAAAUCAAUUAAAAUAUUUGUUUAACAUACACGUGGAGCGGCUGCAGAGCUCUACCCAACACCUUGGAAAAAGGAAAGAGAAAAAAAACCUAAGAAAUUCAAAUGAUGGAGUCCAAAUUUUGGGUAAAUUUUUAAACGUGAGGCGUUCAAAAUAUUUAAACCAAAAAAUUUCCAUUUCCCGAAGAAGACACAAAAAAAAAUGUGAGCCAUAAUUAACCGCAUGCAAUGGCAAUGGUAAUGGCAAAAACUAUUAGGAGCCACCCCAAAAAGCCAACCAACUCUCAGUUGGAGAUGGCACCCUCCAACAAGCAGCCUGGUGGUCCCUUCUAACGCUUACACCCAAUUGUUAAAACACGAAAACAAUUUAAAAUAAUAUUUCGGCCCAGGAUUUGUACAGGCAGCAGCCAGCAGGCUCUGUACAAAAGCCAAACUGUUCACCUCCACUAUGCUAGCUAGACGGCUUUAAAGGAAUAUCUCACGGUCGUAAAUUAAAAGAUAAAUCUUCGUUAAUUGUAAAUUGAGAAAAAAAAAAGAAAUUCUAGCAAGGUCUGGGGGCAGCCCAGCUUGUUUAGAAGAGCAGCAUCGACAGCAGCAAA
Long non-coding RNA from Stomoxys calcitrans (stable fly), 982 nucleotides. RefSeq lists it as uncharacterized. NCBI's taxonomy places the organism in Eukaryota, Metazoa, Arthropoda, Insecta, Diptera, Muscidae. The record is from RefSeq and is a predicted model, not a curated record. The transcript is spliced from 2 exons.